RNAcentral lists this long non-coding RNA (1172 nucleotides) under Anser cygnoides (Swan goose). Its description in RNAcentral is "lncRNA (ENSACDG00005001215.1)". The record is from RNAcentral. Lineage: Eukaryota; Metazoa; Chordata; Aves; Anseriformes; Anatidae.
CAGCAUUUGGGUGAGAGCAUCCUGCUGGAUGGCAGCUUUGAUUUUCCACCGUGGAGAGGCAUCGCAGCACAGCGGGAGCUCAGCCAGAGCCAGAGGUCAUUCUGCAGCAUGUGCCCAGCAUCAGGGCACCUUGCAUGGGUGAGAGCUCUGCCGUAUCCCUGCUCAAGCACCUGAGGUUUAUUUGGGCACCCGGGAACCCCCCUUCAUGCACAUCCCUGCCUCGUCCCUGGGGAGGCUGGAGUGAAGCCACUUCAUGUCUCCAGCUCCAUUUGCUCAGCCACAGGACGUACCUAGUGCUGUGCUGAGGAGGUUAACACAGCAUCAGGAGUAACUUCUGCGCCGCUCUGUGAUGAGAGGUGCCAUGCAAGUGCAAAGUAUUUUUAUUAUAAAGCAUUUAAUAAUAAAGGGUGCCUCUCGGAGGAGAAAAUCCACGAAUAACUGCAGUGGAGAGGGCACUCCAUUUUGUAUUGCAAUCAUUGCUCAGCAAAUCCCCCAGAGAAAUGUUUGAAAUGAGUGUGAUAUCUUCCAGGGAGAUCAGUGUACUUCCAGAGGGAUUGUGCUCAGAAACCUCUGAAGCUUCUGUUUCUAUAGCUUUGAUGGCUUAUAGCCUUCUCUAUUUCUAUCAUAAUCCUUCAUUAGGUUUUGCCAAACUGUUCCAAUUGCUAUAGCAACUCUAAUGAAAUCUUGCUCCCUAAAUAGCCACGCCAAUUUUAUCAGGUCAAAAUCUGCCCUUUGCAGCUAAUUCGCUACCUUUUGACCAUACUAUUUUUCCUCUGAGUGGAGAAUUUACUGUGAGAAGAAGCCCAGAAUUAUUAACCCAAAUAUUUUUUUUUUCCCUUUUCAGCUUAAACCAAAGGCUUUCUUUUAAAAUCAAAUGUGUAUUGGACUGUGUGUGCAGGAAAGGCACAAAUCCUCUGGAGAUAAGAGCUGAGGCCUGCUUCCUGUUGCCUUGAAUGCUGCUGCUGGCUGACCUGUGUAUUUGGAGCAAGAUAAUGGAAGUCCGGCAUCAUUACAAAACAGCACAUGGGGAUCCAUUCUGGCUCGCGUUCAAGCCCCUGACAAGGCACUGUCCUGUCGCAGUACCCCAAAGCACUCGGUUUCCCCUUUUUCAUGGAAAUCCAAGACUGCACUCGGCAGUGCCUUUGUUGGCAUGUGAGCGUGUCUCUAAGUGA